Molecule: long non-coding RNA, 2400 nt
Organism: Mirounga angustirostris (Northern elephant seal)
Lineage: Eukaryota; Metazoa; Chordata; Mammalia; Carnivora; Phocidae
Exons: 7
Source: RefSeq, a predicted model, not a curated record
CACCCUCGGGCCGGGUCGCUUACCUGUCGCGGAGCGGGUCCGGGUGACAGCGGGGAGAAGCGAGGAGACCGAAAGCAGCCACAGCAGGCGCCAGCAGCGCGCGUUCCUCCUGCAAGAAGUGGCGGGGGGCGAGAAGGGCUCCCUGUGGAUGCGGCCACACUGCGUGAUCCACUCAGCACAAGCAACCUGGAAGUGAUGUGCAAAUAACUCCCUGGGAAGCCAACUUUUCGCCAGUGGAAGCCACCAGGUCAAGAGGAGGGGUUGGCAUCUUCAGCCCAAGGAGGCGGCAGCAUGCUAGAGGUAACCCGCACCUGGGAGUCCAGGCCCUGAACCCAGAGACAGGGGAGACCUCCCUAAGAGCCCCUCAUCUGUGACCGUUUUGUGAAGGAGCAAGUAGCCUCUCCACCGCAGAAAUUCCUGGAAGUACUCAGGAGUCCAUGUCACAGCGAUGUGGGUGGGGAGUUGGACAUUCAGCAUCUUGGGAGUGCUAUGAAGUGUGAAUCUGGAGUCAAAGUCCUACCUGGGAACAAGACAAGGCCUGUGUGCAAAGAGAGACCCAGCAGUGUUUGCCCGCUGGGAUCUGAUGAGCAAGGGCUACAAUGGAAGAAGUAUGACAAAUAGUGCAGUGGUUCUCAAAGUAUGGUCCCUGUACCAGCAGCAUCCGCGUCACCGGGGAACUCGUCAGAAACACAAACUCUCCUGCCCACACAGCAGACCUACUAAAUCAGUAAUCGUCGGGUGGGGCCCAGCCAUCAGUAUUUUAACCAACCUUCCAGGAGAUUCUGGCCCACUAGAGCUGGGAACCACUGAUUAAGCACACAGAGGGAACAUGAGCAGAUUUUGUUUCAAAUGCCAGCUCUCCAGCUUACUUCUUGGAUACUGACAACAUCCAAGAUCCAUUCCUGAUUGAAAGUCUCAGCAAAUUAGGAAUCGAAGGGGAAUAGAAGGAGGCCUCUUCUAUUUGUCCAAGGGUACCCACAGAAGAACCCACUGGUAACAUCUUCCUUAACGCUCAAAACUGGCCCCUCCACCCAGGAUCAGGAACAAGGCUGUGACUGAUCUCUCCAUUCAAAGAUUAUUUCGGAAAUCUGGGAGCGUGAGCUGCUUAAAGAGAAAGACUGUGGGGAAUGGGGAGGGCAGCCUGUGAAUCUGUCCUCCGUGCCUUCCCCAGACAAAUGGCCCUCCUCGCCUGGCUGGCCCUGGGAAGGGCCUGGGCGACCACAGCUACAAGGACUCGGGCACCUGCAGGACCAUCGGUCAUGAGGCAACUGCUCUCACUUGGUUUCUGAAGGAGUCAAGGCCUCCUCAGCCACUUUGUCCAUUAGCAUAAUGUGUGUCUACAUGACAUAAAUCAAGAAUCUAGUGCACAUGAAUGUCCAGCUGAGCUGUGCAAACAGGCCUUAGAAGGCCCAGAUUUGGCCAUCAGUGGGGCGGGAGGUACCAGGAGAGUUCUGUGUAGCACAGAGUUCUCACAGUGUGGCCCCCCCAUCCAGCAGCAUCUGUCUCACCUGAGAAAGAAAUCAAAGCAUCACCUUGUUAGAAAUCAAAUUCUCAGGCCCCACCCCAAAGCUGUUGAGUCAGAAACUCUGGGGUGGGGCCCAGCAACCCGGGUUUUAUCCAGACCUUCAGGUGAUUCUGAUGCCCCUGGACAGUUAAAGCACUUAUCUGCUUGGCACUAAAUUACCAAAAUUUCAUAUCCUGCUUCUGCCAUUUGCUGCCUGUUACUUAAAAUCUCUGGGGCUCAGUGCCCCCAUCUGUACAGUGAGGAUGAUAAUAUCAUACCAGGUUCCUAGAGGCUCUUGUUCACGUUAAUGGAACAAUCUAUCUAAAUUACUUAGGGAGCACUUAAUAAUCGCUAGCUUAUAAAUUGAAUUUCCCUUGCCUUCCCUGUUUCUGAAAAUUCAUUGUCACAUGUAAUCUUCAUGUAACACUUCUUAAAAUCUCUCAAAGAAAUGCAUAUGAUGGCCUUACUCAUGUUUCUCAGAAGCAAAGCAAGUACUAUCAUCACCUUUGUCAUCCAUGUGUAGAAACGGAAGCCCGAGGGGCGCCUGGGUGGCUCAGUUGGUUGGGCGAUUGCCUUCGGCUCAGGUCAUGAUCCUGGAGUCCCAGGAUCGAGUCCCGCAUCGGGCUCCCUGCUCGGCGGGGAGUCUGCUUCUCCCUCUGACCCUCCCCCUCUCAUGCUCUCUCUCUCUCUCUCUCUCAUUCUCACUCUCAAAUAAAUAAAUAAAAUCUAAAAAAAAAAAAGAAAUGGAAGCCCGGAUGCUCAACUGUCUUUCCAAGGUCAUAGUAAUAAAGUCAUGGAUCUGAGACGUAAGCCACUUCUGACUGGAACAUCUGUGUCUUUUGUCACAUCAUGAGUUCUCAGAGUGCAGGCCCGAAAUCUCAGGCAACACAGGUUUA